AAUCUUCAUCAAAAUCUAAAAAUCACAAAUAUAAAACUGAAAAGGGAAAACCUAACUUUUUUUUUUUGUUAGCACCUAACUUCUUAAUUGGAAACUUAGAAUAUAAACAUUAUCUAAAAACUUAAAAAGGGUAAAAGUUAUUUAUUGGUUCAACCGGCGGUUCAACCGCUAUCAGGUUCCGAGUUUUAGUGAGUUUCUGUGGGUUUUUGUGGGUUUCUAAAUAUUGAGUUUUUCACAAAACCCAAACCAUAUUUUUUUCUAGGUCACCGUAUUUACUGGUUCAAUCGCGGAUCCGGGUCGGGUUUCAAAACACUGGUUAAAAAUGUUAUUUUAGAGUUCUUUGUUUUGUUUCAAAAAAGAAUCGGUUACGUACGUUUCAAACUUUCAAUGUAUUAUCACACUCAAUUCCAAUAUAUCGAAUUAGCUGUAACAUGAAUAUAUUUGCGAGUAUGAAACAAUUUAUCUUCAAAAUAUGUAAAAUAUCACUCUUUCAAAACAUAGCUACGGGCUAACAAACUCUCACAUUUAAUCUGAUAUUUACAUUUCAAUCAAACUCAAGGUUCUUGAAAUAUCAGAAAGCUUGUGUAUAUAUGUUAUUAGAUUAUUCUUUCGUAACUUACACAUAAACACCUUAAAUUAUUAUAUAUUCAAAUAAUUUUACAGAACUAAACCAAAAUUGAAAGAAACACUAAACAUAAGCCAAAAAAAGCAGUAAGUCGAAAACAAAUUAAACCUAAAUCAAAAUCCAAAUUUCAUCAUCAUCAUCACUCGCACCACCAUUAAGCUUUGUCUUCACUCUCCGGUGAGCAGAUGCGUAAGCACCACCACCGUACCACCACCACAACGCAACCUUUUCCGUACCCUAAAAAAUAUAAAACCAUAGAGAGAGAGAGAUUGACAGGCGAGUUCAUGGGAAAGAGAGUCUGAGAAGAAAUUGAUGACCGUAGACGUCGUUGUCUCUGACACGCCACCUCCGCCGAGCUUCCGCUUCACCCUCUCCGUUUCCAUUGAAGUCAAAGAACGAAAAAGAGUCUUUAUAAUUAAUGUAUCUUAUGUGUUGCAUUUUUGCAACUUCUCUAAAAAGUUAACAAAGACGCAGUUUUUGGUGUUGCAUUACUUUUAUCUCGUGUGUUUUAGAAUUGAAGCAUAUAAGAAAACAAAUUGUGAGAAGGACUAUCUAAUCGACACGUGGCAAAUAUAAUGUGAACGCAUUAAAUGCAAUGCAUCCCUUUUAAUAUAUAAGAGAUUUUGGUAACAUAUAUUAUGUAUUUAGAUUUUAUUUUAUUUACAUGCACAGAGUCCCAAUUUUACUAGUAAAAAAUUUAUUAAAUUUGUUUAUCUUGAUGACAAAAAUGUAUUUAGCUUCGUCUUUGCUAUACACAAGCUCUACACACACAAAGAGAAGCUAAAAUGAUGUAAUAUCGUGGCAAUUUUAUGAUUGAUAAUUCUAUAUAUUAUUGUAGAAUAAUGCAUUUACUACAUAGGUUCAUGAAAUGCGUUUAGAAAGAUGAUACAAACAUGUCUUUACAAUGACUUUUUGAUAGGGGAAGACAUUAGUUACUCAUUACAUGUCCAGUACUCACUACUUCGUAAAGUCGGAUUUUGGUUUGAGAAGUCAAGUAUCAAAUAUUAAAAUAAAAGUAAUUACGUGGUAUUGUUUAACUUGUUUUUAUUAAUGAAACAAAUAUACCUUUUUAAAUUUCAACAGAAUAAUUCGUUUAUAAUUUCCAUAAGUGAAUCGAAGAUAAAUUAUAUAUUUAUAUAAGCAUUUGGAGUUUUUUUUGUUCUUACUUAUUCUAUUCUCCGGAUUGACUAAAAUAAAGAAAAAAAUAUAUUUAACUUUAAAUUACAACUAAUUAUCAAAUAAAUUACUAAUAAUUAUCAAGUUCUUACAAGUGACGUAGAAAUAACAAGUAAUAAAACAGCGUAAAUAAUUUUAAAGUCAGUCAUUUUUAGAUUGUAUUUGAAACUCCAGUUACUCGAUUUAACAAACCAAUACAAAUUCAAAGUUUUACAAUUCUUAUAAGUUAAGCCAAUGCCGGCCCUUGGACAAAGCAAAGGAAGCAUCUGUUUCCAGCCAAUAAUUUUAUGUAUUAAUUUCAGCCAUAUUUUGCCAAAAGUUCUCAUUAGUCCAAUGGUAUCUUUAGGUCCAAGUUACCGUCAAACAGUUGGGAUCCAGAUUUCUAUUGACCAUAUCAUUUUUUUUUUAAUUUUCCCUUCUAAAAAAUGGUCAAUCUUUUUUAUGCUUCUAGUUUAUAAAUUUUUAGGACCGGUUCUGAGUCAAGCAGAGUGUCAAAUAUAUUGAAAAUACCAAAUACUCGACUGGUGCCUAGUAUCUUCAUUCUUCAAUUACGAAAAUAAACAUGAGAUUGUUUAUUAGAAUGCUUCUAUAUAAAAAUGAUGCCUCCACUCCGACAGCUAAGCAACCGACACUUGAAUGACGUUAAGCGGAUUAAUUAUUUAUCAUAUAUUAUUAUUUUAAAAUAAUUACAUAGAUUUAUUGUUUUAGUUCAAGAUUCCCAUAUCGUUUUCUCUACUAUGAACUUUUAGCCGAAUGGUAACAUGCACAUGUACGUUUUCUAUCAAACGUUUACAGUUUCACUACCGUAGUCACGUAUGUCUAUGGUAAACUAGUAGUGUUACUUAUCAUUCAACUAAUAGAAAACGAUAUUGAGGAACUAAAACAAGUAUUGUUUGGAGUCAACCCUUUGCCCCAUUUGCGGAUACAAAUUGACCAAAUAUCCAGUUGUGAUAUUAAAAAGUUUUAAGUUAUACUUAUGUUCUUUUGUCAGUGUCAGCUAAAAAUACUUAUGUUCUUUAGACUUUAGUUCACCAAGAGGUGUCGAUCAAGGAAACUAUAAUUAAGAAAUAGAACUGUUCUAUUAAUCAAUGACGAUAUAGUUUCGUUAAAUACUUCGGGGAGUUUUGCUUAUUGGUGUAUACAUUAAUAACAUAGAUAUCCCACGUUGCAUAAGUGAUUUGAGUCAACUAUAAAAGUCGUGGACGCAAACAUGUUCGAAACGCUUGAGCCUAAAUCUGGAUUACAAACAGCGUCAUCAUUAAUUCAUAAAUACCGGCCGUUCAUUUUAAAUGGGUUUUUGUGACGAUGAUUAUCGAUAAUUAUAAAGAGCAAUUUUUUGUUUGUUAGAGUUUGUAAUAAUAGUCUGACAAUAAAUACAGCCCCUUUGUCUUUUAUAUUUUGUUCCUUUUCUACCCAGGUUGUUUCUUUCGUGAAUCUUUUUUUUUUGUAACCAAAAGAUUUAAGACCAAUGUCCAAACUAAGCAUCGAUGUCUACAUCCGUCAUAUAAGCUAUGCAAUGGCCAAAAAGAUGAAGUAUCUAGUAGCAAUAGUAGGCCUGGGCAUUCGGGGUCCCAAUCGGAUUUUGGUUUUAUCCAAUCGGAUUUCGGUUUUUCGGGUUUAUCAAAAUCAGCCCCAUUCGGAUUAUAUGAAAGUUUGGUUCGGGACCGGUUCGGGUUCUAUCGGGUUUGGGUCGGAGUUAGUAAAUCUUCAAAGAACCGGUACAACCCAAUAUACUUUCGGGUUCGGGUCCCAAUCGGUUUUUCGGUUUAAAAGUACAUGAUUUUUACCUAUUUUAUAACCAAAACAUGAGUAAAAUCGGUUUUUCAGUUUUAAAAUACCUGAUUUAUACCUAUUUUGUAACCAAAACUUAAGUAAAAUCGAUUCAAAAAUAAGGAGCAUCAAUCGUGAUCAUUCAAACUCAAACGAAAAGUAAACAUAUUUACUGAUAAAAAAAAACCAAAUAAAUAAAAACAUAAAACAAAAACCAAGUUCUUAUGAAAUGAGAAACAUUGUUUAACGAAAACAAAAUCAAAAUCUAAAUACUUCAAGAUUCAACGGCCAUCUUUAACCAUCAACCUUCAUGUAAUAUAACCACCAACAUUCUUGUAAUAGAUAAGUAUUUUAGAUGUUCAAUAUUUCUUAGUGUAUUUUGGAUACAUAUUAGGAAUUGAUAUCAUGUUUGGUAUAAUAUCUUUUCGAGGUUUUGAAUGUUUCGGGUUCUAUCGGAUAUACAUUUAGAUUCGGGUUCGGUUCGGAUAAUACCCAUAACCCAAAAUAUCACAAAACAAGAUUCAUUCGGUAUUUACGUCGGGUUCGGAUCGGUUCGGAUUCAUUUUUAUCGGAUCAGAUUCGGUUCGGAUUUUCGGGUUCGGUUUAUUUGCCCAGCCCUAAACAAUAGCAUUCCUAAUCUAUAACAAAAUGACAAUGUCUGAAGUUCCAUCAGUGGGUUACUUCAUUUUUAUUUUUAUUUUUAUUUUCCUGGGCUGAAGUUAUCAAAAUGCUUAUACAGUAAAGACUUUUCUCAGCCUCUAUAAAGACUUUAACCACUAAUAGAUAAUAUUUAGAGACACGUGACAAAAAAAAGAAGAAGGUAAUAUUUAGGGACAUACGUAUAUCAGCUGUAUAGACUCCUUAGCCCCUCUAUCGGUCAGCACAUUUCCUUUGCGAUGAUAUAACUUGAGUUUAGCAUCAUCCGAAGUUAAUUAGUAAAGUUCAUUGAUGCCUCGUAUAAGGGUUGGAGCUAGACAUGUCAAACCAACUGUUCAUGCUAAGCGAGUAACAAAUCUCUUGAGUCAGAGUCAAACACUACCAUUGAGUAGCCAAGUUCGCAGAUUGCAAGCAUUGCCUUUUAUCAAUUGCUUACUUUGUUUUUUUUUAACACAUUUUGCUUUGGUUCUUAUUUGGGUACUAUUACAUAUUGUACUUCUAAACAAAAGUCUUAAAACUUAAAAGUACUCAAAAUUCAAUCAACGUUUCAGCUCAAGUUCAGUUUAGGCUUCAAUUCAAGUUAAAUUUAGUUUUUUUUUGUGUGUGUUUCUAUACAAACUAUACUUUUUACAAUAUAUCUAUACAAAAUAUACUUUUUACAAUAUAUAUAUAUAUAUAGCUAAACUUAGUAUUUAGUUUCAGAUUCCCUUCCCCCAUAUAUUAGAAUUGGGCACCUCUAGUUUAAAUUGUUAACUCCAGAGAGUAGAAAACCAUUUGGUGUUGGAUAAAACUUUCAAGUUUUGUACUACAUUUGUUAAGAGGUUUUUCUAUUCAACAAAAUUAAUUAAGGACGUUUUAUUAACAACUCAUCUUUUAGUUUUGAAACAAAGUGUUCUCUAUUAAGAACUUUAACGCCUUAUCUUGAUUUGGUUUUUAGACUUUUAGGUAGUAGAUAUAUCGUGACUAACUAACAAAAUUACUUUUCUCCAGUGUUUUGAAACCCGACCCGGACCCGCGGUUGAACUGGUAAAUCCGGUGACCCAGAAAAAAUCCGAUUUGGGUUUUGUGAAAAACCCAAUAUUUAGAAACCCGCAAAAACCCGCAAAAACCCACUAAAACCCGGAACCCGAUACCGGCUGAACCACCGGUUGAACCAAUAAAUAACUUUUAGUUUCUUUUUAGUUUUUAGAUUAUAUUUUAUAUUCUAAGUUUUCAAUUAAGAAGUAAGGUGCUGAC
This is a long non-coding RNA of Brassica rapa (field mustard), 5464 nucleotides long. RefSeq lists it as uncharacterized. NCBI's taxonomy places the organism in Eukaryota, Viridiplantae, Streptophyta, Magnoliopsida, Brassicales, Brassicaceae. The record is from RefSeq and is a predicted model, not a curated record.